CAGGGGCCUCCUUGGCCUCCCUGGCCUCCCUGGCCUCCUGGCCUCCCCGGCCUCCCUGGCUGGGUCAGAUGAAGUGGUCAUCCUUGUGGGCGACUCCAGCUCGCCAGACCUUACAGAAUCACCCGAGGGAUUUUGGGGGUAGGAUUCGGUGGGCAGUCUUUGUAGGUCGUUGGAUCGAGGGUCUGUGUUCCCCACUGGCUGAUGGCCAGAGGCCUCAGUUCUUUGCCACAUGGGCCUUGCCUUCACCAGUGCUUUGAACAAGAAGUCCCAAACCAUCACCUGUCAUCAGCCGGGUCCUGUGUCAUUAAUUCCUGUUUUGCUUGAUGUCAAUGUUGCGAUUUUAUGAGUCCAGCUUUUCCAUUAAGGUUCUGGAAAUUUCAGUCCAUGCUAUUCGGAGGAUCUCAAGUUAUCAGAAGCCUGUUUGAUGAGAGUUGUGCAACUUUUCCAUGAAACUUCUUAGAGACAUGACACUCUAGGGUUAUGUUGUUUGCAAAGAACUUUUAGCGAAAGCAAGAAGAUUUCAGAACUGGGCACGGUAGUCCUCGCUACUCGGGAGGCUGAGGCAGAGGGGAGGCUGAGGCAGAGGACGGACCGCUGGAGGCCAGCUUGGCAACAUAGACUGUCUUGAAAAAAACUAACAGAAAAACACUAAAUAACCAUGAUAUAAAGGUCUGAUAAGAGUUUGAAUAAUAACGAUGACUGGAAAUUUUGGUUAUUUCUGUGGCAGACAACAAUUUGACCUAAUGAUCGACUGAUAACAUACAGUUUUGUAAUGUACGUUACUAACCUUACAAAUGGAACUCAAAUUUGAAUAUCAUUUCUUAUUCGAUGAUGUUUCCCACAUAAUUUUAGCCUAUCAAAUAAGCCUUCUGAAGUGUUCAAACGUUAGUUUGUGGUUAAAAAAUUUAAAUGCUUUAUUGAAAUAGGAUCACAGGUGUCAGUGUGUAGUUG
Molecule: long non-coding RNA, 951 nt
Filed under: Marmota monax (woodchuck)
Lineage: Eukaryota; Metazoa; Chordata; Mammalia; Rodentia; Sciuridae
Source: RNAcentral